CGAUGGCCACACUGUCUCCUCCUGAGACUCAGCGAAGUUGAAAUGUUUGUGAUGAUGCAAUCUCCCCGCGGAAAGACGGAAAGACCCCAUGAACCUUUACUGUAGCUUUGUAUUGGACUUUGAACGGAUCUGUGUAGGAUAGGUGGGAGGCUUUGAAGCGGUGCCGCUAGGUAUCGUGGAGCCAACGUUGAAAUACCACCCUGGUGCGUUUGAGGUUCUAACCUAGGCCCGUUAUCCGGGUCGGGGACAGUGCAUGGUAGGCAGUUUGACUGGGGCGGUCUCCUCCCAAAGUGUAACGGAGGAGUUCGAAGGUACGCUAGUUACGGUCGGACAUCGUGACGAUAGUGCAAUGGCAUAAGCGUGCUUAACUGCGAGACUGACAAGUCGAGCAGAUGCGAAAGCAGGACAUAGUGAUCCGGUGGUUCUGUAUGGAAGGGCCAUCGCUCAACGGAUAAAAGGUACUCUGGGGAUAACAGGCUGAUACCGCCCAAGAGUUCAUAUCGACGGCGGUGUUUGGCACCUCGAUGUCGGCUCAUCUCAUCCUGGGGCUGUAGCCGGUCCCAAGGGUAUGGCUGUUCGCCAUUUAAAGAGGUACGUGAGCUGGGUUUAAAACGUCGUGAGACAGUUUGGUCCCUAUCUUCCGUGGGCGCUGCAGAUUUGAAGAAGCCUGCUCCUAGUACGAGAGGACCGGAGUGGACGCACCUCUGGUGUAUCGGUUGUCACGCCAGUGGCAUUGCCGAGUAGCUAAGUGCGGAAGAGAUAACCGCUGAAAGCAUCUAAGCGGGAAACUCGUUCUAAGAUGAGAUCUGCCGGGGCCUUGAGCCCCCUGAAGAGUCGUUCAAGACCAGGACGUUGAUAGGUCGGGUGUGGAAGCGCAGCAAUGCGUUAAGCUAACCGAUACUAAUUGCUCGUGCGACUUGACCCU
This 925-nucleotide ribosomal RNA is filed under the name Ramlibacter tataouinensis. RNAcentral describes it as "bacterial LSU rRNA". It matches the Rfam family "Bacterial large subunit ribosomal RNA", at positions 2005 to 2925 of the family's 2925-position model. The record is from RNAcentral. Lineage: Bacteria; Pseudomonadati; Pseudomonadota; Betaproteobacteria; Burkholderiales; Comamonadaceae.